This 157-nucleotide unclassified non-coding RNA is filed under the name uncultured fungus. Its description in RNAcentral is "sequence contains ITS1". Lineage: Eukaryota; Fungi. The record is from RNAcentral.
UUGAUUCUUGUGUAUGAUUCAGACGACACACGGAUUUAUGCAUAAAAGCGGCGCCCCCGGGAGGACGCCGAAGCACAUUUUUAGCUUCCACAGGUUUGAGGGGUAGAAGGUCAAAGACCAUUCAAUAAUGAUCCCUCCGCAGGUUCACCUACGGAGA